UAACAAGUUUGUUUUGUUGUUUGUUGUUGUCCUUUGCUUUAGGUACCAUGGCUGCCACUAAUCUUGAUGCCACGUUUGAUCGCAUCAAUGACGAUAUUGAAGAAAUAAAAUGGCACGUGGAAAGGCUACGCCAAUUGUUGCCUAAACUUAUCCCACAAAAUCCAACUUUCCUUGUCCAAUCACCUUGUGCCGAGAGCUUCCCAAAUGAAGAGGUGGGCUACCCCGACCCACACCAAGGACUCAUCUGAAGGAAAAUCAACAAGGGAUGUGCAGGUGACCAUCAGAGAAGCUUUGGGAUCAAAGAAGGAAGCGUCUCGUAAAGAAUCAGAAGCGGGCUUUCAAGAAUUUCCUGACAACAGUGAUGAAGACGAGGCUGACUUUGAUGCACGAAUGCGUCAGCAGAUACUAAAGAGGAGGAAGGAACUUGGCGAUCCGCCAUCCAAACAGAAGUUGCUCAGUGAGAAUGGAAAUGCAAGAAAUCGUUCACCAUCUCCUACAAGGUACAGGUCUAAUCUUAUUUCUUUGCAUGUUUUCUUUUUCUUUUAUCACAUUGCUAUUUUACAAUACAAAUAGUAGCUAGCCAUCUAGUUUCUUGAGAAUCUGUUUCUGUCCAGCAUUUAUUCUAGAUGCUACUUUUGUUGAACUACAUGAAUAUGCUAGUUCUCCAUUAGCUAUCUUUCUUGUAAGUGAUCACACCCCUUCAGGUGCGGCCCUUCCCUAGACCCUGCUAAUGCGGGAUGCUUCGUGCACCGGGCUGCCCCAGCUAUCUUUCUUGUUAGUGAUCAGCUUAAGUUGGUGUUUAUAUGUGGUCACUCAGACUUGAAUAGACAGAAAUUGUUUAUGUGGUGAGGACACUCUUGGAACUGGAAAAAUAUGAUUUUUUUUUUUAAAAUUUGGUUGAAAAUUUUGGGGAUGACUUAACUGUUGGAAUCGAAAUUUCCACCGUUACUGGUUUUUAGUUUUUUUGCCUUAUAUGUAAUGGUUAACUCUAUUAAUUUGAAUGCACUUAGGAGGUACAACCUAGUACACAAUAAACCCUAAAUCUCUAAAAUUCCACCAUAUUAACCCAUGCAAUUUGGGCUUUCAAGAGCAUAACAGCCCCCCAAAACCCAAAGCUUUCGUCAUAUUAAUUGCUGUCUCACAUUUUAGUUUUUAUUACUUAGAUUAACCAAUUUUUUAUUUUUUUCUAUAUCCUUUCUUCAUUAGGAACACCAUAUGUUGAUAGGCCAACAUUUUCUCUUUGCAAAAGUUCAAAUUCAUGAUACAAUUUUUUUUAAAAUAUUGAAUGGUUUUUGAAAUGAUGAAACUUUGUAUUAUAGAAUCCUAGCUUGAUAUAUACAGAUUAGGAAUUCUCCUUAAGGGUCACUUUUAAAAGUUGCGGAAAGUUUGAGUAAAUUAUAAUUAGUGAAGAAGCUCUCUGGAGGUAAAAGUCUAACCGAAAAGAACAAAAUGAAUGGAAAUUGUGAUUCUAUUUUUGCGAUAAAGUGGUAAGUUAUGUUAAGAUGUUCAGAGAAGUCUUUAGAGAUUGUGAAGCUACGCGUGCUAUCGGUUUACUGUAGCAUUUGCAUUAUCCAGACUAUGAUGUUGCUUCCGUUAUGCUGGUUUUCCUCUUCAUACAUAUUAAGCCAAUUAGCUGACCGAUCUUCAAAAAUGCCUAUAUCUGGUCAUGGUCCGCCCUACCUGUGAUCCCUUUCCUAACUUUAUAAUUAAGCUGUCCUUUUCCAUUAAAAUGGGUCUUUAGGUAUAGAAUUGUGUUAAUUUAGUCUAUUAGUCAUAUAGGAUUGUGUUUUUGAGAGCAGAAGUUGUGAACUCAGAAAUCGAAGGAUAUAAGUGGCUACCCAAAAUUCUUUAUACAGUUUGUUGGGUAGCAGGUUACUGGCAAUAUUAGGUUGAGAAAUAGGAUACACCAUACCAAGUGAUCAAUGACUGUCCAUAUCGUGUCAUGGAACAUGAGGGGCCUUAAACUAGCCAAGUAAGAGGUGCAUAAUUACGAACUUAAUCCACUACUGGAGAGCCGAUGUUUAUUGCUUUCUCGAGACCAAAAUUGAAUGAGAUGUCAAGAACAUUGUCAAAUAUUGUUGGCCCAAAGAUGGAGAAAAUUCUGUCAACUUGAAGCCAGUGAAACUAGAGGAGGCAUAUUAAUUUUGUGGGAUGGGAAAACAUGGACAGGAGAAGUAAGCAGUGUUGGAGCUUAUUCUAUAUCUUCUAAGUUCACACGAAAGAAUCAAGACUUCACUUGGUUCCUCUCAGGCAUUUAUGCACCAAACAAUAGAGUCGAAAGAGAAGAUGUUUUAUGGGAAAUUAGAUCAGCUAGAGUACUUUUUACAGGCCCGUGAGUAGCAUGCGUUGAUUUCAAAACAGUUAGAUUCCCUUCUAAAGGGAAGAAUUGCUCUAGAAUCAUGAGAGCAAUGUGUUAGACCUGCUGUUACUAGGGUCUAUAACCGCAGGAAGAAGGGUGAAAAUAAGGCUUUAAUGUAUCUAUUUUGUUUAUUAAUUAUUCUGUGUAUGUAUUUCUAGUAGUUUCUGGAAGUGAACUAGCAGUUAACUAGCAGUUCAGGCAGUUGUUUUGUGAAAUAUUGUACUAGGAAGAAAGAAAGACUAUCAGAUUAUUUUGUAGGAUUUUCUGGCAGAUUAGGAGGCUAAGGUUCCUCGAAAUAUCUUGGUUGUUGAAAUAUCUUCUAUUUGCUAUUUGUAUAAUAUCUUCUAUUUGCUAUUUGUAUAACUCAUUCGAUUUGUUGGUGGCAGUAAAUAAUAGUUGAAGUGUGUUUCUACUUUUGCAUUGUUUCUGGGAGUUUUCAGAUUUAUUGUUAGGAGAUUUCAGGGUUCCUAAGAAUUUGUAAGGUUGAGAUGGUUUGGUCAUGUGAUGAGGAGGGGCACGGAUGCCCCAAUUCGUAUGUGUGAGAGGUUGGCCUUGGAAGGUUUCAAGCGGGGUAGGGGUAGACCGAAGAAAUACUGGAGAGAAGUGAUUAGACGUGACAUGGAGCAGUUACAGCUGACUGAGGACAUGACCCUAGAUAGAAAGAUAUGGAGGAAAAACAUUAGGAUAGAGCGCUAAGGGUGUGGUUGAGUUGUAGUCAGUAGGUAGGGAAAUUGUGGCGUCCUUUGUUUGGCAAUGUACUUUUUGUGGAUGCCGUAUCUAUGUUAUUUUAUCAUGUUUUAUGCUUUUGAUGUUUUUGUAUACUGCCUUUUAUACUGCCUUUUAUCUUGAGCCGGGGGUCUCUCGGAAACAGCCUCUUUACCUCGUUAGAGAUAAUGGUAUGGACUGUGUACACUCUACCCUCCCAAGACCCCACUAUGUGGGAAUAUACUGGGUUUGUUGUUGUUGUUGUUGUUGUAACAAUUUGUAAAACUCAUUCGAUUUGUUGGUGGCAGUAAAUAAUAGUUGAAGUGUGUUUCUACUUUUGCAUUGUUUCUGGGAGUUUACAGAUUUAUUGUUAGGAGAUUUCAGGUUCCUAACAAUUUUGGUAUCAGAGCCUUAUGGUUUCAAGCAGAAUGGAUGGAAGGAUUAGAGAAAACAAUGGGCGAAGUACAAGAGGAGCAGUUAUGAGACUGGAUGCAAAAAAAAAGAUGAACAUGGCGCUGAAAUUCUUCAACAUAUAAAAGGAAAAUCAAAGGUUCAGGCACGUCCAAUUAAAGACACAUAUAUAAUGGCAGAAAACAGCAACAAUCGCAGAACCGAUGGAUUCUGGGAAGUUUAGCCACAAUUUCGUGAAGGAACACGUCCUAGAAGAUCAAAACUGCUCUUGUUCUCCGAUGACAACCCAUAUGGAUGGUUUAACAGAGCAGAGCGUUAUUUUCAUUUCAAUGGCAGGAUAAAAUGGCGGCUGCUGCUGAUGGCUUUGAAGGGAGAGCCCUAAAUUGGUUCCAAUGGUUGGAGACAAGAACGUCAAUUGUCACAUGGGAUGUGUUUUGAGUAGCCAUACUUCAACGAUUCACUCCAUCAUAUAUAGGAAACCUAUAUGAGGUGUUGAUAAGACUGCAACAAAUUGGAAGUGGCCCAAUACGGAGAAGAUUUAGAAUUACUUUCAGCACCCUUAAAAGAUGUCGAUGAUACAGUUUUGAUGGGGAUUUUUAUAAAUGGAUUGAGAGGAGAGAUCAAGGGAGAAUUGCGUCUUAGCAAGUUAGGAACUCUAACCCAAAUUACGGACCAAAGCCAGCUUAUUGAAGAAAAGAAUUGGGCUCCGAGCCCAUUUGCCUAGACAUAUGCCUAUGAUGCUUCCUAAGGGUUCGACGCAUUUUCAAGUGACUGACAAUAGCCGAACGGGAAGUGUUACAAGUCCACAUGUGUGUAAUCAUAAUACCUUAUCAUUCUGCCCGUACAACAGUUACAAUAGCAGUACGACAUUUCAAAAGCAAUAGGCAGGAGAAAUCAUGCAGUCAGGACCUGAAAGGCGUGGAGGAUCAUACAAAAGGCUAUCUGAUGCAAAGUAUCAAGAUAAAUUAAGAAAAGGACUUAUUGUCAUAGCGAUGAAAAAUAUGGCCCUAAUCAUUGAUGCAAUUCAAAACAAUUAAAUUUGCUCAUUAUAGUAGCGGAGGAUAACGGAGAUGGAGAUAUAAAAGAGCAUUCAGAGGAAAUAAUAAAUGAAGGGAAGGAUCAAUUAAAUGUUCAAGAACAGGUAGUGUCUCAAAAGUUUGUCUUUGUCAUCUAUUGCAGGAUUUACCACAACGAAGUCUUUGAAGGUAUGGAGAACAAUAUUGGGGAAGAAGGUUAUUCUGCUGAUUGACAGUGGAGCAUCAACGAAUUUUAUCUCUUGCACAGUGGCUGAAGCAUUAGGGUUAAAGAAACCAGAAACUAGGUCAUUUGUGGUGGAAGUAGGAAACGGACAAUAGGUAAAGAGUAAGGGCAGCUGCAAAGAAGUGAAGUUGUGGAUUGAUAAACUAAGCAUAACACAAGAUUACUUCUUUUUUUAUUUGGAAGCGCUGAUGUAGUGUUGGAUUAGAGUGGCUAGAGACUUUGAGAUAUUCAAGCUAAUUUAAAAAAGUUGACGCUAAAAUUUCAAAUAGAAGGGCAAACAUGAGUUGUUCAAGGAGAUCCCUCAUAGUCCAGAUCGGUGGCGUCACUCAAAACUCUGCUUAAAGCCUUGCAAAAAGAUGGAGAAGGGUAUUGUGUUGACCUGAAUGAGUUAACAACAAAGGAAGACCAAGAGAAUUUGGAUUUGCAACAAUUACUAUAAGAAUUUGGAAUUUUAUUUGUGGAACUAGAAGGGUUGCUACCUAGUAGGAGUCAUGAUCAUGCUAUAUUACUUAUCGAGGGAUCUAAUCCACCCUAUAUUUUUCCAUAUUCUUCCCCUCAUUACCAGCAAAAUGAGAUUGAGCGAAUUGUCUAGGAAAUGCUUGUAACUUGUAUCUUUCAACCAAGCACAAGUCCUUUCUCCAGUCCAGUGUUGCUCGUUCGCAAAAAAGAUGGUUGCUGGCGAUUUUGUGUGGAUUAUCAAGCCCUUAAUAAGAUUACUAUUCUCAAUAAAUUUUCAAUUCCAACAAUCGACGAAUCGAUGAAUUACUGGAUGAACUUGGGGUGCCACUAUAUUUUCGAAAUUGGAUCUAAGAAUGGGAUACCAUCAAAUUCAGGUUUGCUAGAAGGACAUCACAAAGACAUCUUUUCGUACACAUGAAGGCCAUUAUGAAUUCUUGGUUAUGCCAUUUUGUUGUCUAACGCUCCAUCUACUUUUCAAGCCUUGAUGAAUGCAAUAUUUUGUCCUUACUUUAGUAAGUUUGUAUCGGGUAUUUUUGGAUAAAAUAUUAGUUUAUAGUGCAAAUUUUCCUAUUCACUUGGAACAUUUGCGGAAGUUGCUACAAAUUUUAAAACUCCAUAACUAGGAUGUCAGUCGAAAAAAAUGUCAAUUUGGACAACAACAACUGGAGUAUUUGGGACAUUAUUUCAGCAAGGGAGCUUCAGCAGAUCCAACCAAAAUAGCAAGCUGGUUACUCUAGGAAGUUUGUUCGUGGCUAUAGGAAAACAACCCGACCAGUCACAAUUGCUCAAGAAAGAUGCUUUUCAUUGGACUAAAGAAACUCAACUAGCUUUUGAUUCUCUUAAGGAGGUUAUAGUCACUUUGCUUGUUUUGGCACUACCAAGUUUUAACAAAGUGUUUGUGGUUGAGACAGAUGAUUCGAGAUUAGGGAUUGGAUCUGUCCUAAUGCAAGGAGGACAUCCCAUAGUUUUUCUUAGUCAAGGAAUUUCUAUUCGAGCUCAAUCUAAAUCAGUAUAUGAAAUGGAGUUGAUGGCCAUUGUUUUUGUUGUACAAAAGUGGCGUUAUUAACUGAUGGGUCGGCAUUUCAUUAUACGAACAUAUCAACAAAGUCUCCAAUUUCUCAACAUGCUACGGCGAAGGAGCAACAAAAAUCGGUUACCAAGUUGAUGGGAUUUGAUUGAGAUUCGAUAUCCCCCAGGAGGUGAAAAUAAGGCAGCUGAUGCAUUGUCCUGCCAAUUUCAUUUCAUGGCUUUUUCUAUUCUACAUAGGCAGUACCUUAGAUGAUCUUUCCACAAAAAUUCAACAGGAUGAUCAACUCCGUUAAUUAACACAAUAUUUGCUUCAAUGUCCGUCUUCAUGGACGAAUUAUGUUUCUAAGAAAUGGCUGCUUGUUUUUCAAAAGUCGGCUGGUGAUUCUUCGUUCAUCAUUACACAUUCCAUGCUCUUUAGGGAAUUUCACUCCUCGCCUACUGGUGGACGCUCAAGUUUUUUCUGCACAUACAAAUGCAUUUCACAAGUUUUUUAUUGGAAUGGAAUCAAAAGAGAUGUACAAAACUUAGUGGCUAGUUGUGAAGUUUGCAAGAGGAACCAGUCUAAAGCCCUUAGUCCCGCUGGCUUGCUGCAGCCAUUACCUAUUCCUACUCAAGUUUGAAAUGAUAUUGCUAUGGAUUUCAUCAAUGGGUUGCCAAAAGCAAUUAGACAUGAUACUAUUCUUGUUGUGGUGAACUGCUUCACUAAAUAUAGUCAUUUUCUCCUCUUAUCUCAUCCAUAUACAACAAAGAGUGUUGCUGAGCUAUUUGUUCAUGAGGUUGUACGUUUGCAUGGUUUUUCCAGAACAAGAACAAUUGUGUCUGAUCAAGAUCGGGUUUUUGUCAACCAAUUUUGGCAAGAAUUAUUCAAGUUGUCUGGUACUAGCCUCAAAUUGAGCUCCAAUUAUCACUUUUAAAUAGAUGGUCAAACUGAAGUUUUCAACUUCUCAUUGGAGAUUGGAUACUUAUUUAUGUUGUUUUGCAGGCGCACACGAACAAUGGACAAGAUGGAUUCCUUGGGCUGAAUUUUGGUUCAAUGCCACAUACCAUGGUUCCACCAAGAUGACCCCUUUUAGAUCUUUAUAUGGGCGAGAUCCUCCCUCUUUGUUGCGGUUCACUGAUGAAAUUUCUACUGUUGAAAAGGUCAACCAGCAGCUUAUGGAUCGCAACACUGUUUUAGAUGAACUUAAAGCUAAUCUAACACAUGCUCAAGCUCAAAUGAAAGUUUAUGCUGAUGCUAAGUGCCGCAUUUGUGUUUUAGCUUGGUGAUUUGGUUUAUCUUCGCAUGCAACCUUUCAAGCUCCGCUCACUUGCUAAAAAGGCUAAUCAGUUAAGUCCUCAUCACUAUAGGCCAUACACUAUCUUGAAUAAAAUUGGAGAAGUUGCUUAUCACCUUGAUUUACCCUCUCAUUCAUGUGUGCAUCCCGUAUUUCAUGUCUCUUGGUGAAAGCGUGCAAUAAAGGAUUCUACUCCAGUUCAGCAACUCCCUCCUUUCUUAUUUGAAGAACUUGAAAUGCAAGUGCAACCUGAAGGUGUAGUAGACUAUUUGAUUAGGUGGAAGGACUUUCUAGACUAGAACACUGGAAUCCUGUGAAGUCAUUCAUGCUCAGUUUCCUCAUUUUCACCUUGAGGACAAGGUGAAACUCGUUGGGUCGGGUAUUGUUAGACCUGUUGGCUCUAGGGUCUAUUAACUCAGGAAACAACAACAACAACAACAAACCCAGUGUAUUCCCACUUAGUGGGGUCUGGGGGGGGGUAAGAUGUACGCAGUCCAUACCUCUACCUCUGAUGAAGUAGAAAGGCUGUUUCCGAAAGACCCCCGGCUCAAGGCACAAGAUAUCACACAAACACAUAGUACAGCACAGAAGCAGAUGACAUAACAUAACUACGGCACCCAUAAGGAAUAUAAAACAGAGGAUAGCAGAGGAAAGCACACAGAUUCGUAAUAAGCAUGGAACACUGAAUACGGAAUCAUAACGGGAAUAAAAAAUAAAAAAUAAAAAAACCCCCACCAAGUAAUUCCCUACACUAGCGACCCAAUCUGGCCCUACUCUUCUGCCGUAAUUCGCGUCUUCCAGACCUUCCUAUCUAGGGUCAUGUCCUCGGUGAGCUGUAACUGUUCCAUGUCCCGCCUAAUCACCUCACCCCAGUACUUCUUCGGUCUACCCCUUCCCCGUCUAAAACCAUCCAACGCUAGCCUCUCACACCUACGGACCGGGGCAUCCAUGCCCCUCCUCUUCACGUGUCCGAACCAUCUCAAUCGUGCUUCCCGCAUCUUACACUCCACUGAAGUCACACCAACCUUCUCCCGGAUAGUCUCAUUCCGAACUCUAUCCCCUCGGGUCAGUCCACACAUCCAGCGCAACAUCCGCAUUUCUGCCACCUUCAUUUUUUGGAUGUGGGAGUUCUUAACUGGCCAAUUAUAACUUAUAUAAUAUACUAAUUAAUAUCGUAAUCUUGAAGAAGAAUAAUUUUUUAUAGUUUUAGUAUUGCCUGCUUUAUGAAUUGUUGAGUCAUUCAAGUUCUACAUUUUUAGUAUCUGCUAUCUAUUUUUAGUUUUUAACUUGAAAUAUUUGCUUGCUAUUGAAAUUUUGAUUAUUUAUAUAUGCAAAUAAACAUUUCAAUUUUUUGGUAUUAAUUGUCCCCACACUUUCAAAAGGCGCUGGCCUCGCCACGUGGUAAGGCAGAGCCUCGGCGCCAUUUGUCAUCUUUCGUAGUCCAAAACAUUGCGGCCAAGUCAUGUACAUCUAUUGUGGGUCUAUCUAUGUUGCUCUUUUAUCAAGGACACUUACCUACCCUUGUCAAAGCCUUAUAAUUAUUACAGUUACAUGCACAGUAAUCACAAGGCAUAAAUUGGUUAUCUCGAGCCUUUAGGGCUUCAGGUGUUUGUCCGUCUCAAUGGGAUAUGAGGCGUGACAGGAAGAUACAGGAACUAGAAGAAAUUAAAGAAGCCAUGAUAGACUUCUACGUCAAGCUAUACUCAGAAACUGAAUCCUAGAGACCUCUUUUCAAGUUUCUAGGAUGCCCUACAGUUUCUACAGAAGAGAAUAAAUGGCAAUAGAGAGCAUUCAGUGAAGAGGAAGUGUUACUGAUCAUCAAACAAUGUGAUGGGGACCAAAGCACCUGGACCUGAUCGAUUCACUAUGGACUUCUUCAAGAAAUGUUGGGGCAUACCAAAGGAGGACCUCAUGCAAAUUGUUCAGAAUUUCCAUCAACGGAGCGUAUUUGAGAAAUCUUUCAAUGCAACAUUAUAGCCUUGAUACCAAAGAAACCUGAUGCAGUGGAGCAAAAGGAUUUCAGGCCUAUUAGUCUAAUAGGAGGAGUUUAUAAAAUCAUUUCAAAGUGGUUGACUGAGAAAAUGAAGACAAUGAUAGAAAACUGGUUGAUGAACAUCAAAUGGCUUUCUUGAGAGGGAGACAACUAAUGGAUGCAUCAUUGUUGGCUAAUGAAUUGGCAGAGUCCAGGAUGAGGAGAAGAAGCCAGGUAUUUUAUGUAAACUUGACAUUGAGAAUGUCUAUGAUCAUGUCAAUUGAAAUUUCCUCCUAAAAAUUCUAAAAGAUAUGGGAUUUGGAAGCAAGUGGAUUAGCUGAAUCAAGUAUUGCAUAUCACGUGUGAAGC
Capsicum annuum is the source of this 9838-nucleotide RNA transcript. RefSeq lists it as uncharacterized. The record is from RefSeq and is a predicted model, not a curated record. NCBI's taxonomy places the organism in Eukaryota, Viridiplantae, Streptophyta, Magnoliopsida, Solanales, Solanaceae. The transcript has 3 exons.